UGACAUGAAGAAAGCCCACACGGAAACACUUCCCAAGCCUGGGUAGAGAGCAGGCACAAUGGAAGCAGGGAUGGAGGCAGCGGUGAGGCAGACCCCUCCGUCCUCUCAUCACAGCACUGGCAGCUGCUCCUCUGCCAACAUGCACGGAGCACGCAUCUACUUCGGCUAUCUCUUCAACCACGGUGAAGUCAACUCCGUUGGACUGCUGCUGGGCCAUGGCCUCCAGCCGGCGGCGGUACUGCUCUGCUUCCUGCUCUUUCUGGCGGAGCUGGUGCCAGUACUCCUGGGCUCUCCGAUUGGCCUCCUGGAGUUGCUGUUGUAGUAACUCUCGUUCGCUGCCUUCCUGUAAGGAAGCCACGUCAUCACUGGGUAAGAGUUGCUGAUCUCAAAUUACCCAGAAGAUAAACAGGCAAACAAACAAACAAACAAAAAGAAGAAGCCCUGGUGACUAUGGCUUUUGAGUGCUUGCCUUUUUCAUCCCUCCAUCCACGCUAAAAAUAACAUUACCUUACUUUCCUCCACGCUAUUUGUUAUCUCUCCCAUCCUUGGUUUCUUUGUCACUAGUAAUUUCUCUGCUUCUUCUUCUUCCUCCUCAAUUACAGUCUCCUCUGCAACCUGACCAGCAGGUACAGUUAGAACUACAAGCCAAAAGACACUAAUUAGAGGUAAUAAAUACACAGUAAAACAAAGAGGCUUUUUGCUUGCUUUUAACUAGAAUACAAGUGAAAUAUAUACUGGUAUACUGCUUUUUAUUCUUUAGAUUUCACAAUCAAAGGUAAUGAAUGCUCUACAGAGAGAAACAGAGGAUUAAAGGGGCACUUAGAAGGGUUAAACAAGGAAGGGCACUCAUUUACAGACUUAAAAUCAUGAAGAUAAAUCCAAGGUCUGGGGAAAGCUCUUUCACUCUAGGCCAGUAGCUAGGAAUACUGAACUUACUAAUUCUGUCAGAAUAAUCUGCCUAAAAAAGGUCAAAAGGUCUAUACCAGUGAUACAGCUUAAAGGCAGAGCACAUGCUCACUAAGCACAGGAUCUUGGUUCAAUCAUCAGUAACAAACAGAGGAGAAAGAAAGGCAGAAAUCGUCAUAUAAGAUUGUUAAGAAACCUCUAAUAAAAGGGAUUAGCUGAGGCUGGGGAUUCAGCUCAGUGGCAUAAACACCUGCCUGGCAAGCGCUAGGUUGAGUUUGAUCCCCAGUCCCCCUCACCCUCUCCCCGCCAAAAAAAAAAGGGGAUCAGCCAUUAACAAUACCAAAAGAGUUAUUUUUCUUCUCAUAGAAGCGAGAGAGUCAACACACAAUACAACACAACACUCAUCAUGCAUCAUUCCUACUGGAAUGGCUAAAGUUUUUUUGGAACUGGGGACUGAACUUACAACCUCAGGAUUGCCAGGCAGGAGCUUGUGCUGCUGAGCUAAAUCCCUGGCCCCUAAAAUUUUUUAAAAAAAUGAUAAUAGCCUGGAAAUUAUACACCUAAUAUACAUACUGGGGAAGAUGUAGAAAAAAACUCAGUUAUUCACAAAUUGCUAAGCAGAAAUGUAAUAUGGUAUGACCACCCUAGAAAGCAGUUCAGCAGUUUGUUUUUAUUAUUAUUAUUGUUGUUACUAUUAUUUAUUAUUAUUAUUAUUAUUUUGUGGUUCUGGGGAUUGAACCUAAGGCCUUCACACUGACCUGCAUCCUCAAUCCUUUUUUAUUUUUUAUUUUGAGAUAUGGUCUUAGUAAAUUGCUAAAGCUGGGUAAAAGCAGUGCUGCCUCAGAUUCCCAGAGCACUGGGAUUAUGGGCAUGUAUUACCAUGCUUAUAGUUUAGUAGUUUCUUAUAAUACUAAACAUGUACUUACCAUAACCCUGGAAAUUAUAUACCUAAGUAUAAAAACCUGUACAUGAUUGUUUGUAACAGCCUUAUUCUCAGUUGAAAACUGGAAAGUAUUCAAAUGUUAUCAAUGGGUAAAUUAAACAAACUGUGUUAUAUGCAUUCAUGGAACAGUAUUCACCAAUAAAAAGGAAUAAACUGGUUUUUUAAAAA
Cavia porcellus (domestic guinea pig) is the source of this 2017-nucleotide long non-coding RNA. RefSeq lists it as uncharacterized. The transcript is spliced from 2 exons. NCBI's taxonomy places the organism in Eukaryota, Metazoa, Chordata, Mammalia, Rodentia, Caviidae. The record is from RefSeq and is a predicted model, not a curated record.